Molecule: ribosomal RNA, 252 nt
Filed under: uncultured bacterium
Lineage: Bacteria
Description: partial 16S ribosomal RNA
Rfam family: Bacterial small subunit ribosomal RNA
Source: RNAcentral
UACGUAGGUCCCGAGCGUUGUCCGGAUUUAUUGGGCGUAAAGCGAGCGCAGGUGGUUUAUUAAGUCUGGUGUAAAAGGCAGUGGCUCAACCAUUGUAUGCAUUGGAAACUGGUAGACUUGAGUGCAGGAGAGGUGAGUGGAAUUCCAUGUGUAGCGGUGAAAUGCGUAGAUAUAUGGAGGAACACCGGUGGCGAAAGCGGCUCUCUGGCCUGUAACUGACACUAAGGCUCGAAAGCGUGGGGAGCCAACAGG